UCCCAAAAACCCCCCGGCUUGGAGUAAUGAAGAGACCGAAGAGACCACCCUUCCAUGGGAAUUCUCUUCAUCCCAAUAAAACCUGAAACUCCCUUCUUUUUCUCUUUCUCCUCUUUCAUAUUUUGUUUAAGCAAGUUUCAAUCUUUUUUCUUUCCUUUUUUCUUUUGUAGAUUAUUGAAUUAUUCUUGUUGAUGAGAAUGGCGCUUGAAUCCUCAAUUCUCAGCCAACCCACUUUCUGUUCUUCAAGAAGGUCCUCGCCUUUCAUGCUUUUUAAUCGAAAUUUGAAGUACCCAUAAAAGUUUUUAUCCAAAACUAAUCACUACCCAGCUCCUAUUAUCUCCAGCUUUUCCAAUCCCGAGGUUUUCAAAGCCUUUGGAUUGCGAAAAACUGGAAUUUUUGGAAGUCAGGCACGUCUGGGAUUGUUAAGUGAAGACAAUGAAGAUGUGGGAAAUAAUCAGAAUCUGAUUUUGGUGAAAAGGGGAAUUUUGGUGGCAAUGGUUUGCAGUGUAUUGGUCUUUGGUUGUAAAAGAGUGUUUGCUGUUGAGGGAGUGGUUAAUGCUGGCUAUGGGGUGAUUGAGCAUUGCAUAUUGUUGUUGAGGAACGCUUGGCCUAAGUUAUCUAUGCUUCUUAAAGCUAAUCUUUCAUCUUCUUCUUCUUCAAUUACACAGUUGUGCUCUCCUGAAGAAGCUGCUGCAUUGAUCCAAUUCAAGAUCUCUUUUUCAAUCAGUGAAUAUUCAUAUUGGGAAUGCGGUGAAUCUUUUCCUAUGACAAAUUCAUGGAAGGAGGGUUCAGAUUGCUGCUCAUGGGAUGGGGUCACUUGUGAUAACAUCAAAGGUCAAGUUAUUGGCCUUGACUUGAGUUGCAGUCAGCUAAAUGGCAGCAUCCCUUUCAAUAACAGUCUCUUCCAUCUUCCACACCUACAGAAACCCAACCUAGCCUUCAACUACUUUAACUCUGCCAAGAUGUCAUCUAAGUUUGGUGGGUUUGCAAGUCUAAUGUAUCUCAAUCUCUCUUAUUCAAACUUUGAAGGACAAGUCCCAUCCCAAGUCUCCCACUUGUAGAAAUUGGUUUCACUUGAUCUCUCUGGGAAUUAUUAUUAACCACAUGACAGACAUACUGUGGAAGGACUUGUUCAGAACCUAACAGAGGUGAGACACCUUUUUCUUGACAGUAUCGAUAUGCCUUGAUGAAUCUACCCUCAUCUUUAAGGACUCUUAAUCUCAAGUACUGUGAUUUGCGAGGAAAAUUCCCAAAAAACAUUUUUCACCUGCCUAACCUCAAGUCCCUCUAUUUAGGAUACAACGAAAACCUUGCUCUCUAUUUAGAUCUAUCAGGAAUGUCCUUCUCAACAAAAUCGAUAGAUUCGACGAUCGGCAAUUUACAAUCUUUGAAAUAUUUGGAUUUAUCAUGGACUUCUUUUCUUGGAGGGUUGCCUGAGUCUAUCACGAAUUUAUCAUCUUUGGAGCAUUUGGAUGCAUCAGACUCAUCUUUCUCAGGAGGACUGCCCAACUCAAUCGGGAAUCUAGUGUCCUUGGAGUAUUUAAGUCUUUCAUCACCCAAUUUAUCAGGAUCAAUUUUGAUAUCAUUGGGAAACCUCUCACAACUCAAUUAUUUAGAUUUGUCAUGGAACUAUUUUAGUGGACAAAUUCCAUCUUCACUUACAAAGCUUAGGCAACUUGAAUUUUUGGACAUUUCUAAUAAUCAACUAGAAGGUUCCAUUCCUGAUGAAGUAGCUGCCUUUCCUAAUCUAAUUUCUUUAAACUUAUCUUUUAAUUUGAUCAACGGAACGAUUCCAUCAUGGUUGUUUACAGCUUCCACAUUGAAGUACAUAGCUCUCAUGCAUAAUCAACUCAAUGGUGAUGUCAAGGAAUUUCAAUACAAAUCACUAGAAGAGAUCUCUUUAGAGAAUUAACACUUGGUUACCUUCUUAAUCAAGUUAAGCAAGGAAAAAGAAGAAAUCGGUGUCACUUGCUAAAGUCAUCUGGGCUGGCAAUUCCUUCAUCACAAGCAAAUUUUGCUUUACUUUGCUGAAUCAAAGAUUUUACUAAGCUUUGCUUAGUAACUCCGUGUGCUUAAACUAUCCAGUUGCCAACUUGGCUUAACCUUGGACCAUGUUGAGAAGAACACUAACUGGCCAUUACCAAUGGAGCCAAAACUUUCCUAUAAUUUCAGUUGUUCAUAAUAAGAGACCUGUUCUUUUCAAAUUUUAUUCAUAAUUUAGCCUUCUGAUAGUAUUCGGUUGGAUCGGAGCUUUUGCAAUGCCAAAUUCAAGUCUUUUCUUUUCUCAGUUCAGGGUAGAGACGGUUACCUCUAAGAACUUUAGUCUAAGGAGAGAAUUGUAAUUCUAAAAUCUAUGGGGGCAAGUUUUGUCAUUUCUGCUUCUCUCACUUCCCACUUGCAGCGAGCAAAAUCUUUCCUUCACCAGCCAGACUUCUCCCAAAGACCCCUCUUGGAGUAAUGAAGAGACCACCCUUCCAUGGGAAUUCUCUUCAUCCCAGUAAAACCUGAAACUCCCUUCUUUUUCUCUUUCUCCUUUUUCCAUAUUUUGUUUAAACAUUUUGUAGCAGGAUUAGGAACUUAAUUUUCCGCAUUUAGAUUUUCUUUUUGCCCUCACCAUCAUGCCAAUUUUAUCUUCACCUUCCUUAUCAGAAUGAAUUGAGAUCCUCCCCAUCACAAACUUCUGUGUCCAUAAUAAAUAGUAUGAAAAUGUAGCAAAGGUAUUGCAGGCUGUGGCAUUGCAAAGCCAUUUCUUCUUCAUCUUCUUAUUCAUGGCUACCAGCAUCACCACUAAUAGCGACUAUUAAAGUUGAGUUGUGGCUGCAAGCAUCAGCCUCUGUUAGUGAAACAAAAGACAACGGUCAUGUUAUUCAUCCAUUCAUCAUCAUAAAGUUUGUACAAGGGAUAUGUUAAUACAUAUUAUCGCAAGCAUGCACAACACCACGUAAUGGCUUUUGAAGCUGAGCAAGCACGCGCUAAUUUGCUUGCUGUAGAGAUAGGUUGCCCACGUGGCAUUCAUUAGAAGACUUGGAAAGUCUUUUGCUUUUCAUCAAGAAAUGGUCUAAAUAUUAAGUACUGGACAUCCUUGCCAACCAUCAUUCCUAUAAUUGGUACACCAUAAUGAGUAUUUGCUUUUGGACCAAAUUGGUCUACCAAUUGUUAAAAUAACUUGAAAUUUGAAACCAUGGUCUACCGAGAAUCAAACUUUAGACAAUAAGAAAUAACAUGAAUAAUAAACAAAUGAAAUUAGAUGUGAACAUGAAGACAGAUCUCCGAAAGUGAUUAUUUAUUUCUUUUCUCACUCUAUUAUGAAAGGGAAUUAUCAAUUAAAAUUAAAAUUUAACUCUUAUAUUCAUACUUCAAUAAUUCACUUUCAUGCGUUAUCAAUGAAUUACAAAACUGCUAUGGAUAAAAAUUACUAUUCACAUGAUCAAACAAAUGAUUAUUACUACAAAAUCACAAAAUAAAAUAAAUAAACAUCUCAAAUUGAAUUUACCAUAAUAAAAUAUUAUAUAUAUGACAACAAAAAAAAUAUAUAUUUGACAACAAAAAGUUAAAAUUUGUAGGAAGCAUUUUUUGCCUUCCCUGUGUUAUAGACAGUUUCUUUUCCUCUUGAAGACGCGACCAACAUUAAUUUGCUCCUUGCAAUAAUCCCAACCUCCAACAUUAAAAUGAAAAAGAAAAAUGGGUGAGAAGAUAUGGCUUUGGUCAGUCGAGUCUAAUUGACAAUCUCUGUUCCAAAAUUGACAAAGAAACAUCAAUAUGAAAUUAGGACUCUUCUUUUUGUUCUUGCCUUGAAAGAAUUAAAUUCAACAUCGAGAUGGACAUUACCAAAGUAAAAGGGAGAUUCCUAAAGCUUUUCCAUAGAUUUUUGAAGAAGUAUUUUAACUAAUUCUCUCUCAAAAAAAAAAAAAAGGAAUAGAGAUGCUUUAUUAAAGAAAAUUCUAACUAAUACAAAUUAGCUUCAUGUUUGUGAUCCUAAAUCUAAUAAUGUAUAUCUUCAUAAGAUUUCAAGAAAUUAGUUCCAGCAUUCAGUCUUCUUGCUUCUCUCAUGUUUUCUAGUAUAGCCCAGUCAAUACUGUAAAUUGCCCUUGUUGGGGAGAAUUCUGCAAUGUUUCAGUGAGUGCACGUUGUGGGGGCAAUUCCAACACGGUAGAAGAUUAAAUUUCAGCCUGGUGUAGACCAUAUUAGCAUUAAUAAGACCAAGUUUAUAAUGGAAUGAUUGGAUCACACGUCCAUAUUGUCCUUUUACGGAAAUAACCACCUCACCUUUUUCUUUAAGAUUAGUUUAAUUUUUCCUUUUGACAUGUGGUCUUGGUCUCUUUGAUCAUCUCAUAUUUUCUCUAAUAGAAACUCUCUGUGAAAAGACAAAUCACUGAUCUUAAUGAGCUAGAUAAUCUAAUUAAUGAAUCAGAAGAAAAGUCUUGAUAUGAAAAUUUCGACUUUUACUGCAUAUUAUUUACAAAUGACAGCAUCAACCUCAUUCAUCACGCAGAGACUUUGUAUAGGAGACAAGACACCAUGGACAGUUUGAAUAAGGAAUGCAAUGUCUUUGAAGUGUUGUUUACUCUGAAACUUUGAAGUAGCAGACUACUUUUAACAGGAAAAAGUUAGAGGGACUUGGUAAACUAAUUUGUCUUGAAUGCAUUGACGUGAAGUUGGGGUUCUGCAGUGGUAUAAACAUGAUGCAAAAUGGCUCUGAUAAAGGAAAUUUUAUCAUCGCUGCGCUUUUGAAUUAUUGAUUUCUUUAUUUCUUUCUUUUCCCCUUUAAGUUAAAAAGAAACUUACGAACAUAAAGAAUGAAUAAAUAAAAUCAAAAUUAAUACGCGUUUUAGUUAAGAAAAAAAAAAUAAAAGAGAGAAAGACGGAAAACCUUUUCAAAAUGUUUACUUUAGAAGUAGAAGUCAUAUAGAUUUUUUCAUGCACGUAUUUCACGCGAGAAUGGUAAAGAGUGAUACGUCAUUGCUCUAUUCCUCUUUAAUCUGUAUGUUAGAUUAUGGAUUCUUAUCUUCUCUCAUUAUACUUUAUUAGAAAUUUAACAAGAUGGAAUUGAACUUAAUCUUUAUUUUAAUUUGAUAUGAAAAUUUAGAAAAAUGUUAUGAAGCAAAGGGUAAUGGCACUCUCAUAACGACAAUUGGUGUAGACCAUGACUUUUCAUCAACCCAAAUUUGGGGCCAAACUAAAUUUGAGAUACAACAUAAAUAAAUACUACAUUUAUGGUCUUUGUUUCUGUUCUUCCUCUGAAUUAACUUGAAAUUUAUCACCUCUUUUCUUAACACGGCAAGAUUAAUUUAAAGUAUGGUGUACUCCACAUUAUCAUUAAUGUAAAAAAAUAUAUAAUGGAAUGAUUGAAUCAAAUGCCUUUUUUUUUUCUUUUGGUCGGUACCACCUCCUUUUGCAUUCAAAUUAGCUUGAUUUUUUUUUUCUUUUUGACCAAGACCCAAAAAGUUAACAUCGAUAAGCCUUGUUAGUCAUCUUAUCUUCUCUCUAAUUGAAACUCUCCAAUUGUUGUUUACUUCGAACUUUGAAGCAGCAGACUACUUUUCACAGGAAAAAGUCAGAGAGACUUGGUAAACGAAUUUGUCUUGAAUGCACUGACGUGAAGUUGGUGGUUCUGCAAUGGGUGGAUCUCAUGUCCCUACGCCCUAUUUUCUUUAAGAUAGCUCAAUUGACGGUUUAAAGAAGCUAGUUCCAGCGUUAAGGUUUUCCUGCUUAUCUCAUUUUUUCUACAAGGUCAAUGCUGCAAUAUUUUAGUCUAGUGUAGUCCAUAUUAGUAUCUAAUGGAAUUAUUAAAUCAAUUGCUUAUAUUUGCCAUUUAUUGGGCACCACCUUCUUAUGCUUUCAAUUUAACUUGAUUUUUCUUUUUCGCUUGAGACCUAAAAAAUUAACAUUCACAAGCCUUCUUAGUCUUCGUGGACAUUUUUUUUUUCUUGACGAAAAGACAUAAUUGGUGGACAUCUGAUGUGAAAUUGGUGGAUCCCAUGUCCCUAACACCCUAUUUGCUUUGAGGUAGCUUCGUUAUAAAAUUCACCGGUCUUUUUGUGAAUUGACUUAAAAAUUAUUGGAUCCAUAAUUUCCUCAGUUUCCUAUGACACUAAUACUCUUUUCUUUCGUUUUAUAUUGAUUUUAGCAGUUAACAUGGCACCUUAUAUAAUGCCAACUUCAACCACAAGUUUAUAUAUGAAUACAAAAUUAUAUUUGUACAUUCUUUAUAUGUAUAUACAGAGUGAAAAAUAAAUAAAAAAUUAUAUCUCAGAAUGAAUCUGUAUAUGAACGAAACCAGUAAGUUAUAAACUGUGUAUUGUUUACCACUUGGCACCAAUGCUGCCAUUCGUUUGACAUUGGUUUGAGUGGGCAGUUUAUAAAUACUCAUCUAUGCCUUCUCACCACCACUCAUAUCAAUCAUAUCAUACCAUUAUUAUAUUCCAUUUCUCUUCUUAAGAAAUUAAGAUGUGCUGCUUACUCAUCAGAUCCUUUCAACUCCUCUACCUUCUUUUCUUCCUCUUGAAUUUUCAAGCGUAUCUUUCAUCUUGUUCUUCUUCAAUAACACCAUUAUGCUCUCCUGAAGAAGCUGCUGCAUUGAUCCAAUUCAAGACCUCUUUUUCCAUCAGUCAAGAUUCAUCUUGGAAUUCUGAUCAUUAUGCUGGCAUUAACUCUUAUCCCAAGACAAAUUCAUGGAAGGAGGGUUCAGAUUGCUGCUCAUGGGAUGGGGUCACUUGUGAUAGCAUGAAAGGUCAAGUGAUUGGCCUGGACUUGAGUUGCAGUCAGCUAUAUGGCAGAAUCCCUUCCAAUAGUAGUCUCUUCCAUCUUCCACACCUACAGAAACUCAACCUAGCCCACAACAAUUUUUACUUUUCCAAGAUGUCAUCUAAGUUUGGUGGGUUUGCAAGCCUAAUGUAUCUCAAUCUCUCUGAUUCAAACUUUGCAGGUCAAGUCCCAUCCCAAGUCUCCCACUUGUCGAAAUUGGUUUCACUUGAUCUCUCUCAGAAUUAUUAUCAACCACUUGACAGGCAUACUCUGGAAGGACUCGUUGAGAACCUAACAGAGGUGAGACAACUUUCUCUUGGUCAUAUCAAUAUGUCUUCUAUUAAUCCUAAUGCCUUGACGAAUCUAUCCUCAUCUUUAAGGGCCCUUAAUCUUGAGGGUUGUGAUUUGCGAGGAAAAUUCCCAAAAAACAUUUUUCACCUGCCUAACCUCAAGUCCCUCUAUUUAGGAUACAACAAAAACCUCGCUCUCUAUUUUCCAAAGUUGAACUGGACCAGCAAUCUUGAACUUUUAGAUCUAUCAAGCAUGUUCUUCUCUAUAGAAUCGACAGAUUCAAUAGGCAAUUUACAAUCUUUGAAAUAUUUGGAUUUAUUUGGGACUUCUUUUCCUGGAGGGUUGCCUGAGUCUAUCACGAAUUUAUCAUCUUUGGAGCAUUUGGAUGCAUCAGACUCAUCUUUCUCAAGAGGAUUGCCCAACUCAAUCGGGAAUCUAGUGUCCUUGGCGUAUUUAAAUCUUCAAUCAUCCAACUUGUCAGGAUCAAUUCCGAUAUCAUUGGGAAACCUCUCACAACUCAAUCAUUUAGAUUUGUCAUGGAACUAUUUUAGUGGACAAAUUCCAUCCUCACUUACAAACCUAAGACAACUUGAAUUCUUAUCCCUUUUUUAUAACCAACUAGAGGGUUCCAUUCCUGAUGAGGUGAAUGUCUUUCCUAAUCUAAUCUCUCUAGACUUAUGUUCUAAUUUACUCAAUGGAACACUUCCCUCAUGGUUGUAUACAGUUUCCACAUUGAAGCACAUAUAUCUCAACGAUAACAAGCUCAGUGGUGAUAUCAAGGAAUUCCAGUGCAAAUCACUAGAAGAGAUCUCUUUUGGGAAUAAUAAACUCAAAGGUCCUAUUCCAUCUUCAAUAUCCCAACUUGUGAAUCUUACUAGAGUUGACUUUUCACAUCUAAGUGGGUUUGUACAGAUUAACAUGUUCUCAAAACUCCAAAAUCUCCAAUACCUUGAUCUUUCAUAUAGCAGUCUAUCCUUAAACUCUAAUGGUACUAGUGCUGAUUAUGGAUCUCCAAAUCUUCAGUAUUUGUUCUCGUCUUCUUGCAAUGUCUAUGAAUUUCCCCAGUUUUUGAAAGGUUCAAAAAGUUUGGAACAUUUAGACCUUUCCAACAAUAAAAUUUAUGGCAAUAUUCCUAACUGGAUGUGGGAUGUGGGGAAGGACUCUUUGCAGUAUUUGAAUCUAUCUCACAACUCUUUGACAGAUUUUGAGCAAAUUCCAUGGAAGGGAAUUAAAUUUCUUGACCUUAGCUCAAAUUUCAUUCGAGGAGAUCUUUCGAUUCCACCAUCAACAACAGUGAUCUUUUAUAUCUCAAAUAAUAGUUUGAGUGGAGAGAUCCCUUCUCUGCUAUGCAAUGCAAAUUCCCUUGAAUUUCUUGGCUUGUCUCACAACAACUUGAGUGGAAUUAUUCCACAAUGUUUUGGAAACUUAAGCCAAAGCCUUUUAGUGUUGAAUCUACAAAUGAACAAAUUCCGUGGAUUCAUUCCUCCGGCUUUUACAAAGGGAUGUAAAUUGAAUUAUCUCAACUUAAAUGGUAAUCAAUUAGAAGGGCCUUUCCCACAAGCCAUCAUUAAUUGUAGAGGUUUGGAAGUGUUAGAUCUUGGUAACAACAAGAUCAAUGAUACAUUUCCUCAUUGGUUGGAAAGUCUUACACACCUACAAGUUCUUGUGCUGCAUUCGAAUCAAUUGCAUGGUUCCUUUCAGGACCCGUGGUCCAAUCAUUCUUUUUCCAAAAUUCAAAUUUUUGAUCUGUCGAAUAAUUAUUUUACUGGUCUACUUCCCGUUAAAUAUAUAAAAAAUUUCAAGGCUAUGAUAAAUCUCUCAAAAGAUAAAAGUGCAAGGUCAUACAUGGGAGUGUAUGCUCGUUCUGCUGCUGCUGACUUCUAUAGCUAUUCUAUUGAAAUUGCAAUGAAAGGAGUAGAGAUUCAAUUGGAGAAAAUAUUCAUCGCGUUGACGAGCAUUGACCUCUCAAACAAUGAGUUUCAAGGUGAGAUUCCAAAGGUUAUUGGAGAGCUUGACUCACUCAAAGGGCUAAACCUUUCUCAUAAUAACCUUAGUGGUUGUAUCCCCACAUCAAUGGGGAAUUUGACAGCACUUGAGUCACUGGAUCUCUCUUCGAAUAAGCUUGUUGGGAAGAUUCCUACACAGUUGAAUAGUUUGGGUUUUCUUGAAGUGUUAAACCUUUCACAAAAUCAGCUCGUUGGACCUAUACCUCAGGGAAAACAAUUCGAUACCUUUGGCAGGGAUUCCUACGCUGGUAACUUGGGACUGUGUGGGUUUCUAUUAUCAAGGAGCUGUGACAACACUGAGGCACCCUUUUUUCAUGACAGCACUGAGGCACCCAUUUUUCAUGUGGAAGCAGAUUCUGAAUCUGGAUUUGUGUGGAAAGCGACAUUCAUGGGUUAUGGAAGUGGACUAGUGUUGGGAAUAUCUGCAGCAUAUAUCAUGUUCACACUUGGAAGACCCAAAUGGCUUGUGAGGAUGGUUGAAGAAGUAGGCUACAAAUUGAAGAGAUACCUCAGAGGACGAAGGAAUUUGUAAAUUAGUAAGAAGCCCUCAUCUGUCACUGGUGGAUAGAAUGGCUUGUGUUCCUUUUAUGUUCAAUAUGAUUUUCGUUUCUUGACUGUGUUUUGUUUUGUCUUGCGCCCUGACUUUUCUUCCAGGGGUUGUAUCAUGUUUUCAAGUUGUUUGUUACAGGGGAUGCCUUGUUUUUGAUCUGGUAUGUUGCUUGGCUGUUGCUUAUAGCCAUCCAAAUGCUUGUUCUCUUCUGUUUUAUUCACCAAUGCUUAUUUCUAGAAUAAAUUUUCUUUCAUACUAAUGAAAUUGUAAGCCUGUUAUGGAUGCUAUAUGGAAUUUAAAGAUGAAUUUUCUAUCCCUUUUACAGAUGUUGACAUGAAAUUUUAGUUGAAUUCACCAUGCUUAAAUAACUUCUUUUUUUUUUUUACGUUUGGAGGCAGCACUGAGGGAGGAUAACAUUGAAUCCUAUAAUUAAAACUGGAGCAAUGGAAGCUUUUAAUUUAUCUCAAAUUUUGCCCUUUCACAGAGUACAGCAGGCAAGCAGAAGGACUUAACAGCAUCCAAUAGUCAAUGUUUUAAUACCUGCCACUCCGCUACCUUCUUAAUCAAGUCAAGCAAGCAAAAAGAAAUCAGUGUUACUAGCUAAAGGCAUCUGGGCUGGCAAUUCCUUCAUCACAAACAAAUUUUGCUUUACUUUGCUGAAUCAAAGAUUUUGCUUAUAUAUAUGUAUAUUGAAGAACUGAGCUUUGCUUUCUAAACUUCAGGUGCUUAAACUAUCCAGUUGCCAACUUGGCUUAACCUUGGACAUGCCUUGGACCAUGUUGAGAACAACAGUAUGCGUAGUUACCAAAUCUAGUUACCAUGCCUUCACACUUACAUCUUUGACUGGCCAUUACCAAUGGAGCCAAAACUUUCCUAUAAUUUCAGUUGUUCAUAAUAAAAGUCUUGUUCUUUUCAAUUUCUAUUCAUAAUUAAUCCUUCUGCUAGUUGUAUAUGACAACAGAAAAUAAAAAAACAUUAUACUAUUUAUUCGUCAAUUGUUUAGCUCCUUGCAAUGGGAAAAUUUUAUAAUAUGAAAUUAUAAAAAAACAUUAUAUUUAUAAAAGAUAUAGUUUUCGUCAGUCGUUGCUUAAUUGACUAUCUCUACUCCAUAAUUGACACAAAGCCAUGAAAUAUGAAAUUAGAACUCUUCUUUUUGGUCUUGCCUUGAAAGAAUAAAAUCCGAUGUGAAGAUGGACAUUACCAAAGUAAUGGAGAGAUUUCUUAAGUUUUUUUAGAGAUUAUAAAAGAAGUAUUUUGACUAUUUCUUUCUCAAAGAAAGGAAAAAGAAUAGGAGAUGUUCUGCUAAAAAAAUUCUAACUAAAGCAAAAUUAGUUUCAUGUUUAUGAUCCAAAACAUUAGCAAGAAAUUGAAUAUUUAUCGACAAAUUGAAAGCAGAAAAAAGAUUAGCAAGUUUCCUUUGAGGAGUUUUAACCUUACGCCGAAACCCAUAGGACAUUCCUUGCCUAGAACAUUUUCUACUUUUCGUAUACCAAAAGGUCUUCUUUAUAUAAUAAAUUAAUUAAUUAAUAAAACAAAUUGACUGUUUGAUUCAAAGUGUUAAACUAGAGAAAAUUUCACAUGUAUGCACUGCACAGGCGUCUUCGUCAAUUAAUUGUUACUAAUUUGCUUAUUCAAAUCCUUAGUGAAAGACUAUAGGGUCCAAACAUCGUUUGCCUUAAGGAACUAUUGACCUCACUUUUUCUUUUAUUUCUUUAAAAGAAAAAAUUACUGUAUAUAACAAGUAAUUAACAUACGAGAAGUGGGAUCAGCACAUAGAAAAUUGUAAUGGCAACAAAACUUUCCAACCGGAAAAAGUUUAAGAGACUUGGUAAACUAAUUUGUGUUGAAUGCACCUGCGUGAAGUGGGGUUCAUGCAAUAUAUAUAUAUAUAUAUAGGCCACAAAGACUUUUUCAUGCAUGUACAGCAUAAGGUUGAUACAUUGAGGGAUUGGUAUGUGAAUCAGCAUAAAGUUUUCCAAAUGAUUUGGUAUGUUAAAAAGCAAAUAUGAUGGAUUCAAAAGCAUAAAGUGGCAAAAUUGAGUCUUUAUAUAUACAUAUAGUCUGCAGGUGUUAGAUGUCAGAUUAUAAACUUUAAUGAAAUAAUAUUCCAAACUUUGAACAUUUAUAAUUUCAAUUGCUUUCAGACCAAUUGACAAUUAAAUUACCUACUAUAAUUAGAGGAUUGUAACUUACACAGAAGGCUUAUAGCUAAGUUAGACAUGAGGUAAUCAAUUCUAAAUCCAUCCAACUCAAAAAGCUAAGUUAAACUCUCGAUCUUGUCUAUAACAAACUUGAAAACCAUGCAAUCAUUGUUGCCAUUCAAUAGAAAAACAAAGGUCAAUCAUUGUCUGAAAAGUGGCAUUUCAUGUGGCAAAUGAUAAUUGUAGUUACAACAGUAAAACCGUAAAACAUUGAAUUAUACCGAGAACCAAAUCAAGAAGUGCAAUCUGCACAUAGAAAAUUGUAAUGGGGAUAUGAAAUAUAGGCCACAUGGACUUUUUCAUGCACGUACAGCUCAAAGGUUGAUACAUGGAAAGAUCUGAUAUAUAUUUUUUGAAUGGCAUAAUAUAAUUAGUAAAGGAGGGAAGAGUCUCAUCAGAAAAGGAGAAACUCCAAACCCCAAUACAAAGGGGACAUCAAACAGAAAAUCGAAUCCCAGAGCAACAAGGACACCAAGCAAGAACAGUCAGGAAAAAAAGGAAUAACAAAUAGAAGAAGGAGAAAAGCACCAGAAGAAGAACCCGAAAACACAGAAAUUAACCAAAAACUUGAAUCAGGAUAAAGUUUUCCAAACGAUUUGGUAUGCCGAAAGCAUAGUGGGGUAAACAGCAAAAGUGAUAGGUUCAAAGGGAAUACAGUGGCAAAAUUGAAUCCUAUUUGUAUAUAUUUGUCUUUAUCCUCUUUAAUCUGCACAUGUACAUAAUGUGAGAUUAUCCAAAUUCUUAUAGUCUCUAUAUUUCAUUAGAAAUUGAACAAAAUGGAGUUGAAAGUUACUCUCUAAUUUAAUUUGACAUGAAAAUUUAGAAAAAUGUUCUGAUUUUGAUACUUUUAUUAAAGUAGCAAUAAAAAAAUCUAAAUUAAUUUGAGGUAUCUUGAAAAAAAAUCUUCGAAUUCCACCUUCAACAACAAGAUUCUUUUUUAUCUCAAAUAAUAAUUUGAGUGGAGAGAUCUCUUCUCUAAUAUGCAAUGUGAGUUCUCUUAUAGUUCUUGACUUGUCUCACAACAACUUGAGAGGAAUAAUUCCACAAUCCUUUCGAAAUUUGAACAAAAGCCUCUCAAUGUUGAAAUUAGAGAGGAACAAGUUUUGUGGAACCAUUCCUCUAACUUUUGUGAAGGGAUGUGAACUGAAUUAUCUAAACUUACAUGGCAAUCUAUUAGAAGGACUUUUAACACGAUCCAUCAUUAAUUGCCAAGGUUUGGAAGUGCUAGAUCUUGGUAACAAUAAGAUCAAUGAUACAUUUCCUCAUUGGUUGGGAAGUCUUGCACAGCUACAAGUUCUUGUAUUACGAUCAAACAAAUUCCAAGGUUCCACUAGGUCCAGUAAUUCAUUCUCCAAAAUCCAAAUUUUUAACCUCUCAAAUAAUUACUUUAAUGGUCCACUUCCUGUUAAAUAUAUAAAAAUUUGAAAGCUAUGAUAAAUCUCACAAAAAAUGAUAGUGCAAGUUCAUACAUGGGGCUGGAUGCAUAUUGUGGAUCUUAUAGCUAUUCUAUUAAAAUUGCAAUAAAAGGACAAGAGGUUGAAUUAGAGAAAAUUUUCAUCACGUUGACUAGCAUUGACCCCUCAAAGAAUGAGUUUCAGGGUGAGAUUCCAAAGGUUAUUGGAGAGCUUAACUCACCCAAAGGGCUUAACCUUUCUCAUAAUAACCUUAGUGGUUGUAUCCCCACAUCCAUGGGGAAUUUGAUUAGUCUUAAAUGGCUGGACCUCUCUUCAAACAAGGUGGUUGGGAAGAUUCCUACACAGUCAACUAGUUGGGGUUAUCUUGAAGUCUUAAACCUUUUAGAAAAUCAGCUCGUUGGACCUAUACCUCAAGGAAACCAAUUCAAUACCUUUGGCAAUGAUUCUUAUGCUGGUAACUUGGGAUUGUGUGGGUUUCCAUUGUCAAAGAGAUGUGACAACACUGAGGCAUCCUUUUUUCAUGAGGAAGAAGAUUCUAAAUCGUGAUUUGGGUGGAAAAUGGCAUUGAUGGGUUAUGGAAGAGGACUAGUGUUGGGAAUAUUUGUAGCAUGCAUCAUCUUCACACUUGGAAAACCAAGAUGGCUUGUAAGGAUGGUUGAAGAAGUAGGCUACAAAUUGAAGAGAUACCUCAAAGGACGAAGGAAUUUCUAAAUUAGUAAGGAUGCUGUUGCAGACUUUGUAUUUUUCUUCCUAGAAUAAAUUUUCCUUCAUGGUAAUGAAAUUGCAAGCAUGUCAUUGUGUUCGUGGAAUUUAAACUUGAAUUUUCUACCCUUUUUACAAAUUUUGACAUGGAAUUUUAGUUGCAACCACUGCCCCUAUAUAUCUUUCGUCUGUAAGCUAUACGAACAUAUUAAUAUGAAUACAUAGCACAUGAAUUAAAAGAACAACGAAUGAAGUGCAAUUAAGGCAUGAGGUCUUUCUCCAAAGCUUCUCCAACUAAAUUAGUUCUUCUGAUUUGUUGGGGAAUAUAGAAGGUGGGGUUUUAAUUUGUUUAAGCAACAAAAAACUUUGUAUAGAAUAUACUUUAUAGUGGGUUCAUUUCAAAAAUACCGAUCAUAAAUAAGGUAUUUUGGAAAAUAGUCAUCUCUAUAAUUUUAAUUACUUUUAGCCGAGAGAAAUUUAAUUUUGGAUAAAAUUACUCUCAAUGAAACCGAUCCAUAUGUUUAGGUCUGCACCUCAAACCGAUUCAUAUCCUUUGAACUUUCCUCACCAGACCAUACAUCUCUAGAGUGUUCUUUGUUAGAAAGAAAAACUUUUAAGCAUUUUGAGCAUUUUGGAGUAGUUUUUGAGACACGAAGAAAAACUUUUGAGUAUUUUGAGUAUUUUAGAGUGGUUUUUGAUAUAUAAAGAAAAACUUUUUAGCAUUUUGAGCAUUUUUCAUCAAAUAGGUAUAUUCAUUGAUUAUAUUGUUAAAUAGAAUAUGGUGCGUUGUUUGAAAUUGUUGAUUUUGUAAAAUAGAAUUCAAUAGUUUUAGUGGUUUUUAAGCAUUACGUAACCGGUUUUUAGGCAUUACGUGAUUAGUUUUUAAACAUUGCGUGACUAAUUUUUAGGUAUUGCAUGACUAAUUUUUAGGUAUUGCGUGAUUGAUUGAUAUAACAUUACCUGACUGGUUGAUAGGCAUUGUGUGACUAGUUAGUAAGGCAUUGUGUGACUAAUUUUUAGGCAUUACCUGAAAAUCAGUCACGCAAUGACUACAACCUAGUUACACAAUGCCUAAAAAUAAAAAAAACGCAAUGAUUAAGUCAUGCAAUGCUUAAAAAUUUGUCUCACAAUACUUAAAAACUAGUGACAUAAUGUCUAAAAACCAGUAAUGCAAUACUUAAUAACUAAUUGAUUUGCUUGCUUGUAGUCAAGUUUAAGUUGCCAAACAAUGUUCUAAUUUGUAGAUAUGUCUAAUCAAUUUCAACCCCUUAACUUUGGAUAAACGAAUAAAUCCAAACCCCUAAAACAUAUACAUUGAUGUUAUCUCUUCUCUUUGGAAGCACGAGAAAAAGCUAGAUGGCGAGAUAGAGAGUAUUUGGUAGAAACGAGAAAUCAGGAUUUAACUUUAAAAUUUUUGUCUAAAUGAUGGGAUAAAGAAAACCGAAGCUAUUUUAAUUUAUGUGAAAUUGUUUAAAAGGCAUUGUUGUCAAGUCAUGUCAAAAAUUAGCUAAAAAUAGUUUAAAUUAUAAUAAAUAAUAUUUUUGAAUUGAGUUUAUGAGGAAGGUUUCUCACAAUUAUUACAGUUCAAUUGUGGCUGCAAGCAUCAACCUCUGUUAGAGAAACAAAAAACAAGGAUGAACAGAGGAUAAUACCAGCAAGGCAACGGUCAUGUUAUUAAUUAAAUCACAACACUUAUCUGGAACGUAAGAGAAAAUUUUCAGGAAAGAGAUAAAUUGAAAACAAGGAAGUGAAAAUGAUUUUCAUCACUGCAUUAAGCGUAUUUAUACAUGUGGUGAUUUUCAUCAUUGAAAGAAUAAGAACGAGAAAACAGUUAACCUAAAAAUAAGGGAUCAAAGAUAGCAUAUAUCAUUCAAAUAACUGCUGUUUUUAAUGGCUCACGACAUGUGGCCUUUAUUACAGCAUAAUUAAAAACUACUUAAGAAUAAACUUCUAAGUCAGGUGGUUGACAUGUGGACAUCUUUAUCUAUCAAGUACUAUGCCACACCUCUGCGACCGAGACUUCAAUAUCCAUUAUUAUCACACCAAACACUUAGUUUCAGGUCAAGCAUGCACAACACCACGUAAAUCAUGGGACAACAUGAUUUUCUUUGAAGUAUUGUUUACUCUCAACUUUUCUCUUGGGGAGAUUUGUUGGAUGUUUCAUUGAGUGCAAGCAUCUUGGUGGAGUCAAUUGCAACUCAAAGCAUAAACUCUUUUUCUACGAGAAAAACGUUUCAUUAAAUAAACGUUGGUGGAAUUUAUAAUGGAAUGAUCGGUUCAAUUGGAUUCAAUUCCUCUCUUUACUUUUAGAUUAAUUUGAUUUUUUUUUCUUUGCCAAGAUUUGAAAACUUAACAUUGAGAGAUCUUCCUAUUCACCUCAUCUUUUCUCCAACUGCAAUUCUUGGCUGAAGAUAAAGUAGUAAGCUUGACGAGCUAGACAAUCUAAUUAAUAAAUCAGAACAAUAGACUCGAUAUAUACAUAUAGAAGAUCAUGACAACCCAGACUUUUUUUUUUUUUCUAAAAUAUCAUCCUCAUAAGAACUUCUUGUUUUGAAAGUUUUAAGAUUGCAAACUUAAUUUGUAGUUGAUCACAUUAUUAGCAAAGAUAUCAUCCAAAUCAAUUUAGUUUCAAUCUCACAUUAUAACUUUAUUCAUGAAUAAGAUAAAUUACAAAAAAAAAAAAUCAGUGUUUCAUUUUAAAGCCAAAGAAAAAAAAGGAAAUACCAUCCCAUAGUCUAAAAUCUUGAAUAUAAAUUUGAAGUUGUUUAUAUUGUAGGGCUCAAUUCCCGUACCAAUUAAGAUAAUAUAUAUUGCAUAACGUCACCACUUUGGAAAUGAUUUAUAUAUAUAGCGUAAACGUGGGUCUGUGUGGUGGGCCAUUGUCAAAGAAAUGUGGAAACACCAUCUUCAGAGUCUGAAGGAAAUGAUGAUCAUGGAAAUGGAGUGGUGUUUCGCAUGCCUAUAACAUAUAUUAUUAUAAACAAUGUGCCAAUACAAACACAAUCAAAACCUUGAGGUUGUGCCACAACGUGUGUCUCCACUUCCCUUGAGUCUGAUUUGAUGGUUGACUCCCAAAGUUUUCUUAGUGCAUCCAUCCACUAUCACUUUAUCAAUUUAAUAUGCAAAGAAUUCUUCAACUUUUUAGUUAUUUAGUUGCAAUAUUCAAUUUGGAAUUGAGUUUGAAAAGUGUAAAUUACUUGUUUUUCCCCUUAAAUUCCCUCCAUUAAUACUUUAGCAAUGAGUCCGUGGAAAAUCAUACAUUGUAUCACAGAGAAUUUAGAGAAUGAUAUGAGAAAACUGAGUUACAGCUAAGUAGCAGACAGUAAAAAGACUAAAAUAAUAAUAAGUAUCGUUGUUAGUUUUGUUUAUUUUUCUGACCUUGAUAUUUAUCUGUCAAUACUUGGGCAUCCAAUCGUCAAUGUUUUUAAUACCUGAAGAAAUAAUGGUUUUCCUACAGAUAUUAAGUCAGAGCUAGUCUCACCAUCACGCAAACUGUAUCUUAACCUUCCUUUCCAGAGUGAAUUGAGAUCCUCUCCAUCACAACUUUAUAAUUUCCCUCAAUGUUUCUAUUUAUUCUCUAACAUUCUAGACUAAGAAAUUAAAAAUGUCAUGUCUAAGCAUUAAUCUAAAUCAGAAGGUAAUUCUAAGCCUUUGUCACUUGAAAAUCCUUAAUUCUCAGCCAACCCACUUUCAUUUCUUCGAGAAAGUGCUCAUCUUCCAUGCUUUUGAAUCGAAAUUUGAAGUACCCAUCAAAGUGCUCAUUUCGUGGAUACUUGUGCAAUGUUUCAGUGAGUGCGCAUUUGAGGCAUAAACUUUUUCAUUUGCUUUUAAAGGGAAAAACGAGUCAUUAAAUAAACUUAAGACUUUGAAAUUUAUUAGUAGCAAAAGUAUUCAUCCAAUCAAUUUCAAAAGUAUUGAAAUUGCGUGAAGUUGCGUAAAGUGGGGUUUGUAUGGUCUGCCAUUGUAAAAGAAAAGUGGCAUUAAAUAACAUUAGAUGGUUGACCUAUGAAUGUGCAAAUGCCAACACAGUCAAAACCUUGAGAUGUUGAUGGUGCCACAACAUGUGCCUUCACUUUCCUUGGGUCAUGAUUAGAUGGUUGACUCCCAAAGGUUUCUUAGUGCAUCCAUCAAUUAUCACUUGAUCAAUUUAAUAUGCAAAGAAUUCUUCAAAUAUUUAGUUAUUUAAUUGCAAUAUUCAAUUUGGAAUAGAGUUUGAAAAAUUGUGUCAAAUUACUCUUUCAUUAAUAGUUCAGCAGAAAAUAUUCAUUGUAUCACAGAGAAUUUAGAGAAUGAUGUAUAAGAAAACUGAUUUAAAGCUAAGUAGCAGAAAAUGGAAGACAAACAAUAAUUGAGGUGUUUCUCAUUCGUUUAUUUGAAAUUGCUAAUACUUAUCUGUGAAUAAUUUGGUCUUAAUUAGAUAUCAUAUCAACAUAGGAGCAGAAGAAGCUUAAGUUAAGAGACAUCAAAGAAGUAAAAAUUAAAGCACAAUUGAAACUAGAAGUACAUGGUAUAAACAAAAUGCAAAAUUGGCCCAGUUGGAGGAAAUUUUAUCAUUGCUGCACUCUUAGAUUAUUUAUCUAUUUAUUAUUAUUUUUCUUCUUUCUUUUCUUCUCUGAGUUAAAAGAAAACUUACAAAUAUGAAGAAUGAAUGAAUAAAGUCAAAAUUAAUAUAUGUUUUGAUUAAGAAAAGAAGAAUGAAAGAGAGGGAGACAGAAAACCUUUUCAAAAUGUUUAUUUUAGAAAUAGAGGUCAUAUAGAACUUUUCAUGUCACGUAUUUCACAUGAGAAUAGCAAAAAGUGAUACACAAUUGCUCUAUUCCUCUUUAAUUGCGUAUUAGAUUAUGGAUUCUUAUUUUUUCUUAUUAUUUUUUAUUAGAAAUUUAACAAAAUGGAGUCGAACUUAAUUUUUAUUUUAAUUUGAUAUGAAAAUUUAGAAAAAUGUUCUGAUUUUUAUACUUUUAUUAAAGUAAUCAUAAGAAUUUUUUAAAUUAAUUUGCAAUAUCUUUAGAAAAUGAAUAUAACAAAAAUCUUGAAUACAAAUUUCAAGUUGAUUAUUAUUGUUGGCCUCAAUUCCCAUAACUAUUAAGAGACGGUUGUUCAAUGAAUGUGGAAAUUCAAACACAAUCAAAACCUUGAGAUAUAGAUAGUUCCACAACAUGUGUCUUCACUCCCCUUGAAUCUGAUUAGAUGGUUGAGUACUCCCAUAGGUUACUUAGUACACUAUAUCACAGAGAAUGAUAUGAGAAAAUUAACUAUUUUACAACAAAGUAACAAACAAUACAAGGCUAAAAUAAUAAUGAGUACCAUUGAGGUGUUUCCCAUUAAUUUAUUUGAAAUUGUUAAUAUUCUUUAUUUUUUAGAUAUCAUAUCAACAAGGGAGCAGAUGAAGCUUAAGUUAAGAGACAUCAAAGAAGUAAUACUUCUUAAUGAACCAAAUUUGUUAUUUCUUGGUGAUUGAGGCUGACAUAAUUGCUUUUGUUGAAAAACACAAAAAGAGAAAAGGAAAGAAUAAUACAAAACAUAUGAGAUUAUGCAAUUGGUACAUGUUCCAUGUCAAAAACAUAUUGAGUAUUGCUUUUGGACCAGGUUGGUCGACAUAAAAGCUCUCCACGUGACCACCGUAACAUUUUCCUCGAUUUGACACAUCAUCAAUUAUGAACUUCCAAGAAACCUGAGAAAACAAAAUUAUGAACUUGGAUUUGGCACCUCUUGACUAGGCAGCUUAUAAAUACUCAUCUUUGCCUUCCCACCAUUCAUGUCAUGCCAUUAAUAUUCAAUUUCUCUUGUUAAGAAACAUGUGGUGCUUACUCAAAGCCUUUCAACUCCUCCACCUUCUUUUGUUCCUCCUGAUUUUUCAAGCCAAUCUUUCAUCUUCUUCUUCUUCUUCAAUUACACAGUUGUGCUCUCCUGAAGAAGCUGCUGCAUUGAUCCAAUUCAAGACCUCUUUUUCCAUCGAUGAAUAUUCAGCUGGGGAAUGCGAUGAAUCUUAUCCUAAGACAAAUUCAUGGAAGGAGGGUUCAGAUUGCUGCUCAUGGGAUGGGGUCACUUGUGAUAACAUCAAAGGUCAAGUUAUUGGCCUUGACUUGAGUUGCAGUCAGCUCUAUGGCAGCAUCCCCUCCAAUAGUAGUCUCUUCCAUCUUCCACACUUGCAGAAACUCAACCUAGCCUCCAACGAUUUUAACUCUUCCAAGAUGUCAUCUAAGUUUGGUCGGUUUGCAAGUCUGGUGUAUCUUAACCUGUCUUUCGCAUCCUUUGCAGGAGAAGUCCCAUCCCAAAUCUCCCACUUGUCAAAAUUGGUUUCACUUGAUCUCUCUUGGAAUUGUUAUCAACCACUUGAUAGGCAUACUCUGGAAGGACUCGUUGAGAACCUAACAGAGGUGAGACAACUUUUUCUUGGUGAUAUCAAUAUGUCUUCUAUUAAUCCUAAUGUCUUGACGAAUCUAUCCUCA
Molecule: long non-coding RNA, 20358 nt
Filed under: Theobroma cacao (cacao)
Lineage: Eukaryota; Viridiplantae; Streptophyta; Magnoliopsida; Malvales; Malvaceae
Description: long non-coding RNA (TCAC_LNC004157)
Source: RNAcentral